This 497-nucleotide ribosomal RNA is filed under the name uncultured bacterium. RNAcentral's name for it is "partial 16S ribosomal RNA". It matches the Rfam family "Bacterial small subunit ribosomal RNA", at positions 28 to 507 of the family's 1533-position model. The record is from RNAcentral.
GAUGAACGCUGGCGGCGUGCCUAAUACAUGCAAGUCGAGCGAACAGACGAGGAGCUUGCUCCUCUUACGUUAGCGGCGGACGGGUGAGUAACACGUGGAUAACCUACCUAUAAGACUGGGAUAACUUCGGGAAACCGGAGCUAAUACCGGAUAAUAUAUUGAACCGCAUGGUUCAAUAGUGAAAGACGGUUUUGCUGUCACUUAUAGAUGUAUCCGCGCCGCAUUAGCUAGUUGGUAAGGUAACGGCUUACCAAGGCAACGAUGCGUAGCCGACCUGAGAGGGUGAUCGGCCACACUGGAACUGAGACACGGUCCAGACUCCUACGGGAGGCAGCAGUAGGGAAUAUUCCGCAAUGGGCGAAAGCCUGACGGAGCAACGCCGCGUGAGUGAUGAAGGUCUUCGGAUCGUAAAACUCUGUUAUUAGGGAAGAACAAAUGUGUAAGUAACUAUGCACGUCUUGACGGUACCUAAUCAGAAAGCCACGGCUAACUACGUG